UCGGAGGUAAAUUUCUCCUAAGGCUAAAUAUUGGCGAGAGACCGAUAGCGAACAAGUACCGUGAGGGAAAGAUGAAAUGUACUUUGAAAAGAGAGUCAAACAGCGCGUGAAAUUGUUGAAAGGGAAACGAUUGAAGUCAGUCGUACCGACGGAAAAUCAACUAUAUGAGUAUGAUUUUGUGGGUAGUGAAGAGCUUAACGGCCUUCAUAUUUGCAAAUUUGUAUUCUUGUGGUGUAUUUUUUCGUAUGGUGGGUCAACAUCAAUUUUGAUCGUUAUAAAAUGAUUGGGGGAAUGUAGCUUUGAUCUAGUAUUGAAGUGUUAUAGCCUCUGGUAGAUGUAACGAUUGGGAUUGAGGAUUGCAACGGAUGUCCUUCGGGGCUAUCCGCCUGAUCUCUGGAAGUCACUUUGGUAUCGAAAGCGUGCUUUCGGUAUUGAGGAUGGUGACCAAAAGGUUAGAGUAUGAUUAAAUUCGUUAAGGAUGUUGACGUAAUGACUUUAAACGACCCGUCUUGAAACACGGACCAAGGAGUCUAACAUAUAUGCGAGUGUUCGGGUGGCAGACCCUUACGCGUAAUGAAAGUAAUUUAGAUGGGAACAUGUUUACGUGCACCAUCGACC
Molecule: ribosomal RNA, 618 nt
Filed under: uncultured Glomeromycotina
Lineage: Eukaryota; Fungi; Glomeromycota
Description: eukaryotic LSU rRNA
Rfam family: Eukaryotic large subunit ribosomal RNA
Source: RNAcentral